GACGAACGCUGGCGGCGUGCUUAACACAUGCAAGUCGAGCGGUAAGGCCCUUUCGGGGGUACACGAGCGGCGAACGGGUGAGUAACACGUGGGUGACCUGCCCUCAGCUCUGGGAUAAGCCUGGGAAACCGGGUCUAAUACUGGAUAUGACUCCAUGACGCAUGUUGUGGGGGUGGAAAGCCUUGUGCGGCUGAGGAUGGGCCCGCGGCCUAUCAGCUUGUUGGUGGGGUGAUGGCCUACCAAGGCGACGACGGGUAGCCGGGCCUGAGAGGGCGACCGGGCCACACUGGGACUGAGAC
Molecule: ribosomal RNA, 299 nt
Filed under: uncultured bacterium
Lineage: Bacteria
Description: partial 16S ribosomal RNA
Rfam family: Bacterial small subunit ribosomal RNA
Source: RNAcentral